GGGAUUGCCUUAGUAGCGGCGAGUGAAGCGGCAAAAGCUCAAAUUUGAAAUCUGGCGCCUUCGGUGUCCGAGUUGUAAUUUGAAGAUUGUAACCUUGGGGUUGGCUCUGGUCUAUGUUUCUUGGAACAGGACGUCACAGAGGGUGAGAAUCCCGUGCGAUGAGAUGCCCAAUUCUAUGUAAGGUGCUUUCGAAGAGUCGAGUUGUUUGGGAAUGCAGCUCUAAGUGGGUGGUAAAUUCCAUCUAAAGCUAAAUAUUGGCGAGAGACCGAUAGCGAACAAGUACAGUGAUGGAAAGAUGAAAAGAACUUUGAAAAGAGAGUGAAAAAGUACGUGAAAUUGUUGAAAGGGAAGGGUUUGAGAUCAGACUCGAUAUUUUGUGAGCCUUGCCUUCGUGGCGGGGUGACCCGCAGCUUAUCGGGCCAGCAUCGGUUUGGGCGGUAGGAUAAUGGCGUAGGAAUGUGACUUUACUUCGGUGAAGUGUUAUAGCCUGCGUUGAUGCUGCCUGCCUAGACCGAGGACUGCGAUUUUAUCAAGGAUGCUGGCAUAAUGAUCCCAAACCGCCCGUCUUGAA
Molecule: ribosomal RNA, 571 nt
Filed under: Meyerozyma guilliermondii
Lineage: Eukaryota; Fungi; Ascomycota; Pichiomycetes; Serinales; Debaryomycetaceae
Description: partial 28S ribosomal RNA
Rfam family: Eukaryotic large subunit ribosomal RNA
Source: RNAcentral